ACCCUCCAGACUCCAUACCCCUCAGAUCUGCACCCUGGUCUGAGUGGCUAUGGAAGGAGGAAAUGUAAAACGGAAGUGGACCAGGAUUCUUUUGAGACACACAAGGUCGUUUUAAACCACCA
Echinops telfairi (small Madagascar hedgehog) is the source of this 122-nucleotide small nucleolar RNA. The record is from Ensembl. NCBI's taxonomy places the organism in Eukaryota, Metazoa, Chordata, Mammalia, Afrosoricida, Tenrecidae.